This is a long non-coding RNA of Aethina tumida (small hive beetle), 494 nucleotides long. RefSeq lists it as uncharacterized. The record is from RefSeq and is a predicted model, not a curated record. NCBI's taxonomy places the organism in Eukaryota, Metazoa, Arthropoda, Insecta, Coleoptera, Nitidulidae. The transcript is spliced from 3 exons.
AACCAUGGCAACGGUUGCUUAGUACUACUGUUUUAAAGCAACAAACAAUGGACUACGCAUACGGGUUCGCAGCUUUCGGUGUGCUGCUCGUUGCUUUUUAUUUUUGGUAUAUAUACAACAUAACAGCAAUGAAGUAAAAAGGAAGCAGCAACUCCCCGUUUACAGUUUUCCUAAUGUAGCUUUAAGUUUUUUGUUUGCUUACCAUCCGCCGAUUCAGUGGAGAAGAGCGAAUCCUUCUCCUUGUCUUCUACUUUGAUUGGCUUCGGAUCUGGCCUAGGUGAAGUUGGCAUUUUGCUUCACGAUGUGCCGAAGUUUACGGAGAAAUGAUUUGAUGUAUUUAAUGACGUUGCUAUGUUAGUGAAAAUGACAGACGUGUUUGAUCGAUAUUGCUGAAUUCCAUGAACGAACUUAUUUCUUUACUAUGUUUUAACGUAUAUUGUUUGUGAUAUUCAUUUAUGUGUGUAUUUUUUAUGAAAAUUAUAAUGUUUAAAUGA